Molecule: ribosomal RNA, 446 nt
Filed under: uncultured bacterium
Lineage: Bacteria
Description: partial 16S ribosomal RNA
Rfam family: Bacterial small subunit ribosomal RNA
Source: RNAcentral
UGCCAGACUCCUACGGGAGGCAGCAGUGGGGGAUAUUGCACAAUGGGGGGAACCCUGAUGCAGCGACGCCGCGUGGGUGAAGAAGCGCCUCGGCGCGUAAAGCCCUAUCAGCAGGAAAGAAAAUGACGGUACCUGACUAAGAAGCCCCGGCUAACUACGUGCCAGCAGCCGCGGUAAUACGUAGGGGGCAAGCGUUAUCCGGAUUUACUGGGUGUAAAGGGAGCGUAGACGGUGAAGCAAGUCUGAUGUGAAAGGCCGGGGCCCAACCCCGGGACUGCAUUGGAAACUGCGAGGCUGGAGUGUCGGAGAGGCAGGCGGAAUUCCUAGUGUAGCGGUGAAAUGCGUAGAUAUUAGGAGGAACACCAGUGGCGAAGGCGGCCUGCUGGACGAUGACUGACGCUGAGGCUCGAAAGCGUGGGGAGCAAACAGGAUUAGAUACCCCUGUA